CACCUUUUGACAUGCCUGGACCGCCACAGAGAUGUGGUUUUCCCUUCGGGGACUGGGACACAGGUGCUGCAUGGCUGUCGUCAGCUCGUGUCGUGAGAUGUUGGGUUAAGUCCCGCAACGAGCGCAACCCUCGCGAUUAGUUGCCAUCAGGUUUGGCUGGGCACUCUAAUCGUACUGCCGGAGUUAAUCCGGAGGAAGGCGGGGAUGACGUCAAGUCCUCAUGGCCCUUACAAGGUGGGCUACACACGUGCUACAAUGGCGACUACAGAGGGCUGCAAUCCCGCGAGGGGGAGCCAAUCCCUAAAAGUCGUCUCAGUUCGGAUUGUUCUCUGCAACUCGAGAGCAUGAAGUUGGAAUCGCUAGUAAUCGCGGAUCAGCAUGCCGCGGUGAAUACGUUC
Molecule: ribosomal RNA, 398 nt
Filed under: Caulobacter sp. enrichment culture clone OTU_06
Lineage: Bacteria; Pseudomonadati; Pseudomonadota; Alphaproteobacteria; Caulobacterales; Caulobacteraceae
Description: bacterial SSU rRNA
Rfam family: Bacterial small subunit ribosomal RNA
Source: RNAcentral